AUUGAACGCUGGCGGCAUGCCUUACACAUGCAAGUCGAACGCCAUCUUCGGAUGGAGUGGCAGACGGGUGAGUAACGCGUGGGAAUGUACCCUUUGGUUCGGAAUAUUCUCGGGAAACUGAGAGCAAUACCGGAUAAGCCCUACGGGGGAAAGAUUUAUCGCCAAAGGAGCGGCCCGCGUCAGAUUAGGUAGUUGGUGGGGUAAAGGCCUACCAAGCCUACGAUCUGUAGCUGGUCUGAGAGGAUGAUCAGCCACACUGGGACUGAGACACGGCCCAGACUCCUACGGGAGGCAGCAGUGGGGAAUCUUGGACAAUGGGCGCAAGCCUGAUCCAGCCAUGCCGCGUGGAUGAUGAAGGCCUUAGGUUGUAAAAUCCUUUCAACGGGGACGAUAAUGACGGUACCCGUAGAAGAAGCCCCGGCUAACUUCGUG
RNAcentral lists this ribosomal RNA (432 nucleotides) under uncultured bacterium. RNAcentral's name for it is "bacterial SSU rRNA". It matches the Rfam family "Bacterial small subunit ribosomal RNA", at positions 30 to 507 of the family's 1533-position model. The record is from RNAcentral.